This 316-nucleotide unclassified non-coding RNA is filed under the name uncultured bacterium. RNAcentral describes it as "partial contains 16S ribosomal RNA, 16S-23S ribosomal RNA intergenic spacer, and 23S ribosomal RNA". The stretch from base 203 to 316 matches the Rfam family "Bacterial large subunit ribosomal RNA", at positions 1 to 114 of the family's 2925-position model. The record is from RNAcentral.
UCUAAGGAAUAAUGGAAGAGAGAAUAGAAUCCUUUGGUAUUUAGUUUUGAGUGUUUAACUUUAUGUUAAAUGCUUUGACGGAAAGAUUUCCGUUUUUUUUGAACCUUGAAAACUGAAUAACAAGUACAACAAAAAGAGCAAAAAUAAACGAGAGUUUAUGAAAAGACACGAAAAGAGUAAAAGAACUCAUAUAUAUAUCGAAGGUCAAGCUAAUAAGAGCAAAGGGAGAAUGCCUUGGCAUCAAGAACCGAAGAAGGACGCAGAAAGCAGCGAAAAGCCGCGGGGAGACGCACACAGUCAGCGAUCCGCGGGUAUC